GUCAAAAAGUUUUUAGGUUAAAAUAUUUAAAUCUUUUUCACAUCUCAUAUCUUUAAAUGUUUUUUAUUACUGCAAAUUAACAAAUAAACUGAUUUUUCCCACAUUAUAUCUUUAAAGAUGAAAACUAACGUUAAAAUUUCUAAUAAUCUAAUUGAGAAACUUCAAAAGCUUCAUGACCCUUGUUUUGGAAAAUUAUAUGGAAUUGUUAUUAAAGAUACAAUAUAUGUCUUAGGUCUCCAAGUGGAUAAAGAUGAUGCGAAUAUAUUGUAUUCAUUUCCUAAUGAAGUGGAUUUCUGUGGGCUUUUUCAAUCAUAUUUGCAAAAUCCCGAUACUGACACAAUAAUUCAAAGAUGUAAUGAUAUUGACGUUACCGAUACCCCAGUUUUCCUUGGAAUUAAAAUUAAUGGUAACAAUAACCAUAUAGUUAGUCAUGUUAUAGAGAGCAAUAAAGUAACAGAUGCUAGUUACGUACCAGUAAAGUUAAAUGAAAUUUACUCAAACUUUGUUCAUGUAAGAAUAAGAGGAAACCUGUUUUUGAAUUCUGAAGCAAGUGAAACAAGAUUGCAGGAGAGUUUUAAUGAAUUGAGUAAGGAUAUCUUAUCAGGUACUUUAGCGUUUAAAUUGCCCAAAGGAAACGUUAUAUUGACUGGAAAAGAUACUGGAAAUAAUACAGUUGGCCUGGUAGGAGAUCCAACCCUUGGUGAUAUUUUGGAAUUAAACCAGAGCAAUGAAAUAACCCAGAAAAAAAGAAAAGUGGAAGAUGAUGAUUAUUCUUUGGACAUUAUAAAUUUAAAUUUUAUUAAAAAAGUUUCAAACGAUAAAUAUGUUGUUGAUCAAAAACAGCAUGCCCCUGUUGUCGUAUUGGAUAAAAAACUUGCUGAUGUAAUAAAAGUCCCAAUCAAAAUUGAUUUUUUGUCUUUAAUUCAAAGGAACGUGCAUUUUUCAACAUUAUAUAAUAUUAUGCUAGAAAGUAUUCUGAAGAAUUUGAAUUUAUUUGAAAAUUGUUUGUAUGUCGUUUUACGAGAAAAUGAAAUAAAAGGAAAAAUUGAUUCGCCAGAAACAUUGCAUUUCUUUGUCAAAGAAUGUGGUCACUUUGUCACACAAAUUGUUUUUAACCGUUCAACAGAAAUAUUAAAGAAGGAAAGAGAAGCACUUCAUGACAUACUCUUAAUAAGUAAACAGUACCCAGUAUUUCGCAAAGGAAAUAAAUACCAGUUUUAUGAUGAAAAUAGAAAAAAUAAACUAUUACUAAAUCCACAUAAAGGAUUAAAGUCAACAAAUAAUAGCGGAAAAGUAUGUUUAGUUAAAGGAAAUUAUGAAUAUUAUCACUAUUGUCAGGAUAAAAUUGAUGACAAUGGAUGGGGUUGUGCUUACAGAUCAUUACAAACUUUAGCGUCAUGGUUUAAAUUGCAAGGAUAUGCAAACAAAGAAGUCCCCACAUUUAAGGAUAUUCAAACAUGUCUGGUGGACAUCGGCGAUAAACCCAGUAGUUUUAUAGACUCACGACAGUGGAUUGGUUCAACAGAAGUUAGCUUUGUAUUGAAUACUUUAUUAGGUAAUUUGUGCGAUAUGAUCAAACGGUUUUAAGCUCAAGCGUGCUUUGUAUGAUGACGGAUAAACAAAAACGGAGUCAUUUAUCGUUUGUGUGACUUCAAAAAUAUUACAUGUGAGUUCUGGUGAAGAAAUGGCAUUUAAAGGACCUGAACUAGUAAAUCAUUUUGAAGUACAUGGAUCG
RNAcentral lists this unclassified non-coding RNA (1735 nucleotides) under Sitophilus oryzae (rice weevil). RNAcentral's name for it is "ufm1-specific protease 2, transcript variant X1". Lineage: Eukaryota; Metazoa; Arthropoda; Insecta; Coleoptera; Curculionidae. The record is from RNAcentral.